RNAcentral lists this ribosomal RNA (289 nucleotides) under Stauroneis constricta. Its description in RNAcentral is "partial Bacterial small subunit ribosomal RNA". It matches the Rfam family "Bacterial small subunit ribosomal RNA", at positions 1082 to 1392 of the family's 1533-position model. The record is from RNAcentral. Lineage: Eukaryota; Bacillariophyta; Bacillariophyceae; Naviculales; Stauroneidaceae.
AAGUCCCGCAACGAGCGCAACCCUCGCCGUUAGUUGCCAGCACGUUUGGGUGGGCACUCUAACGGGACUGCCGGUGUCAAACCGGAGGAAGGUGGGGAUGACGUCAAGUCAUCAUGGCCCUUACGCGCAGGGCUACACACGUGCUACAAUGGCGGUGACAGUGAGUUAAUCUCUAAAAACCGUCUCAGUUCGAAUUGGGGUCUGCAACUCGACCCCAUGAAGUCGGAAUCGCUAGUAAUCGUGGAUCAGCAUGCCACGGUGAAUACGUUCCCGGGCCUUGUACACACCG